Cyprinus carpio carpio is the source of this 328-nucleotide long non-coding RNA. Lineage: Eukaryota; Metazoa; Chordata; Actinopteri; Cypriniformes; Cyprinidae. The record is from Ensembl.
ACAAAAUGCACAAUUACGCGCAUUGGUGGAUUCUAGUGCCUCAAAUGAGAAUCCUGGCCCCUCUUUUGCUGAUAGUCCAAAAGACAUACAGACACCGGAGCAGUCUGAUACAGGAGAAGACGAGUAUCGAGAUGAUCAUCACCCGCCAGACAGUGAUGGUGAAAGUGAUUCAGAAAUUGGAACUUUGUCCGAGGAGGAAUCAAGUGAUCUAAGAAGUGAUUUGGCAAAAUGGGCUGUAAAAAAUAAGGCAACGCGCACAUCGGUUGAUGAGCUGCUCUUGGUGUUAUGUAAACAUGGCCACCGGCUGCCAAAAGAUGCCAGAACCCUG